Molecule: unclassified non-coding RNA, 200 nt
Filed under: Mortierellales sp.
Lineage: Eukaryota; Fungi; Mortierellomycota
Also listed under: 1 other name
Description: partial contains internal transcribed spacer 2 and large subunit ribosomal RNA
Source: RNAcentral
AUGCAGGUGCAGCUGGACUUUCUUCUGAGCUAUAAGCAUAUUUAUUUAAUCCCUUAAAACGGAUUAUUACUUUUUGCUGCAGCUAAUAUAAAGGUUGAUUGUUCUCUAUGCUGACUGAUGCAGGAAUUUGGCAAAAUAUCGUCUAGGCGAUUUUUGUUAAACUCGAUCUCAAAUCAAGUAAGACUACCCGCUGAACUUAA